GAAUCUACCAAAAGGACUGGGACAACCACUGGAAACGGUGGCUAAUACCGGAUGAGCCGAAAAGUAAAAAGGGAAACCUGCCUUUUGAAGAGCUCGCGUCUGAUUAGCUAGUUGGUGAGGUAAGAGCUCACCAAGGCAGCGAUCAGUAGCUGGUCUGAGAGGAUGACCAGCCACACUGGGACUGAGACACGGCCCAGACUCCUACGGGAGGCAGCAGUGGGGAAUUUUCCGCAAUGGGCGAAAGCCUGACGGAGCAAUACCGCGUGAGGGAGGAAGGCUCUUGGGUUGUAAACCUCUUUUCUCAGGGAAGAACACAAUGACGGUACCUGAGGAAUCAGCAUCGGCUAACUCCGUGCCAGCAGCCGCGGUAAUACGGAGGAUGCAAGCGUUAUCCGGAAUGAUUGGGCGUAAAGCGUCCGCAGGUGGCUUAUCAAGUCGAUUGUUAAAGGUCAGAGCUUAACUCUGAACAGGCAGUGGAAACUGAAGCGCUAGAGUGUGGCAGGGGUAGAGGGAAUUCCCGGUGUAGCGGUGAAAUGCGUAGAGAUCGGGAAGAACAUCGGUGGCGAAAGCGCUCUACUGGGCCACAACUGACACUCAGGGACGAAAGCUAGGGGAGCG
Molecule: ribosomal RNA, 618 nt
Filed under: uncultured cyanobacterium
Lineage: Bacteria; Bacillati; Cyanobacteriota
Description: bacterial SSU rRNA
Rfam family: Bacterial small subunit ribosomal RNA
Source: RNAcentral